RNAcentral lists this ribosomal RNA (304 nucleotides) under uncultured bacterium. Its description in RNAcentral is "partial 16S ribosomal RNA". It matches the Rfam family "Bacterial small subunit ribosomal RNA", at positions 506 to 807 of the family's 1533-position model. The record is from RNAcentral.
CAGCAGCAGCCACGGUAAUACGUAGGGCGCAAGCGUUGUCCGGAAUUAUUGGGCGUAAAGAGCUCGUAGGCGGUCUGUCGCGUCUGGUGUGAAAUCCCGAGGCUCAACCUCGGGCUUGCAUCGGGUACGGGCAGACUAGAGUGCGGUAGGGGAGACUGGAAUUCCUGGUGUAGCGGUGGAAUGCGCAGAUAUCAGGAGGAACACCGAUGGCGAAGGCAGGUCUCUGGGCCGCAACUGACGCUGAGGAGCGAAAGCAUGGGGAGCGAACAGGAUUAGAUACCCCCGUAGUCCCUGUCUCUUAUAC